UGCGUAGGCAGCGAGCGUUGUUCGGAGUUACUGGGCGUAAAGGGUGUGUAGGCGGUUGUUUAAGUUUGGUGUGAAAUCUCCCGGCUCAACUGGGAGGGUGCGCCGAAUACUGAAUGACUAGAGUGCGGGAGAGGAAAGUGGAAUUCCUGGUGUAGCGGUGAAAUGCGUAGAUAUCAGGAGGAACACCGGUGGUGUAGACGGCUUUCUGGACCGUAACUGACGCUGAGACACGAAAGCGUGGGUAGCAAACAGG
Molecule: ribosomal RNA, 253 nt
Filed under: uncultured bacterium
Lineage: Bacteria
Description: partial 16S ribosomal RNA
Rfam family: Bacterial small subunit ribosomal RNA
Source: RNAcentral